RNAcentral lists this ribosomal RNA (428 nucleotides) under uncultured bacterium. Its description in RNAcentral is "bacterial SSU rRNA". It matches the Rfam family "Bacterial small subunit ribosomal RNA", at positions 355 to 797 of the family's 1533-position model. The record is from RNAcentral.
UCAAGAAACUUCCACAAUGGGCGAAAGCCUGAUGGAGCGACGUCGCGUGAUGGACGAAGUGCUUCGGCACGUAAACAUCUUUUAUGUGGGAUGAAAUUAUUGACAGUACCACAUGAAUAAGGGGCUCCUAACUCUGUGCCAGCAGGAGCGGUAAUACAGAGGCCCCAAGCGUUAUCCGGAAUCACUGGGCGUAAAGGGUGUCGAGGCGGUUGUAUUAGUCGUUCGUAAAAUCUACGAGCUUAACUUGUAGGCGGCGAACGAAACGGUACGACUUGAGGUUUGGAGAGGUGCGUGGAACUCACGGUGUAGGGGUGAAAUCCGUUGAUAUCGUGGGGAACACCAAAGGCGAAGGCAGCGCACUGGCCAAAAUCUGACGCUCACACACGAAAGCUAGGGUAGCGAAGAGGAUUAGAUACCCUAGUAGUCCU